Long non-coding RNA from Rosa chinensis, 438 nucleotides. RefSeq lists it as uncharacterized. The record is from RefSeq and is a predicted model, not a curated record. NCBI's taxonomy places the organism in Eukaryota, Viridiplantae, Streptophyta, Magnoliopsida, Rosales, Rosaceae. The transcript is spliced from 5 exons.
GAUUGACACUGGUGAUCGGUCAAGGAAGCACGUUCGAGCUUGCUUCUCUAGGUGCGACACGCUCUGAACGAGCUCUGUGAAUCAAUCACAUCCAUUAAAAUACUUAUUUCUCAUUCUGAGGAGAUGUGACUUUCUUUUCUAAAAGUUCCUAUCUUUAAGGGUCUUGGGCAUCAUGUUUGUACAAGAUUUUUCAUCACAAAUAUUCUGAUAUUGUGUCAUGUCUCAGGUUUCCCAAACUAAGGUUCGCUUACAUGUAGAAUGAGUUGCAUUCUUAGAUGGUGCCAUGAGUUACCUUUAGGCCUGCAAACAAGUGCGGUAGAAAUAAUAACAGCAAGUAUGAGGCACUGUUAUGUUAAGCAUGCAGAAGGGUAUGCAUGUAAUAUCCUGAUGUAUAUAUAGAUAUAUGGGUUGUCGCUAACAUGCCUCUAAAUACAGGUA